This 235-nucleotide long non-coding RNA is filed under the name Elaeis guineensis (African oil palm). Its description in RNAcentral is "long non-coding RNA (EGUI_LNC003746)". Lineage: Eukaryota; Viridiplantae; Streptophyta; Magnoliopsida; Arecales; Arecaceae. The record is from RNAcentral.
AUGGAAACAGAAGAAAGUUAAUUUUAAGUAAAUCAUGUUCUAAAAUAUUUUUAAUACAAUCAAAUAUUAUUUUUGAAAUAUAGUCAAACAUCUAAAAUUUUAUUUUUAAAUUUAAAAUCACUUUUGAUGGGUACAAAAGUACUCCCAAACACUAUCAACGGAGCAGCAUGCGGCUCCUAAUGGUUAUAAGCCUUAUUGGCCACCUGGAAACGAAGAAAACCGACAAUUUAGCAGC